AUCUGGCGCCUUCGGCGUCCGCAUUGUAAUUUCAAGAAGUGUUUUCUCUUCGGAACAUGCCUAAGUCCCUUGGAAAGGGAAUCCUAGAGGGGUGUAAUCCCCGUCAGGGGACGGAAAGGUGCUCUCUUUGUGAUACCUUUUCUAAGAGUCGUUGUGUGGGAAUGUGCAUCUCAAUGGGAGGGGUAAAUGCUCUCUAAGGCUUAUUAUUGGGGAGAGACCGAUAGCACAACAAGUACAGAGAUGGAAUGAUGAAAACUUUUUAAAGAGAGUUUUAAGCACGUGAAAUUGUGCCAGGGGGGGAUUGCAACCGUCCUUGAUGCGUCGUGUUCCGCAGGUCUGCUUUUGCUUCUACUUUUUCCUGUGUUGGACGCCAUCGUCUGUUGCCGCUACUGAAGACUUGUAGAAUGUACGUCCCUCCUCAGUGUUAUGUGUUCUUCCUCCUACUGGAUACACCGGCCAAGUCCGCGCUUCGCAUAGUACUCUGGCGUAAUGGUCUUAAUCCACCUUUCU
RNAcentral lists this ribosomal RNA (510 nucleotides) under uncultured Pseudozyma. Its description in RNAcentral is "eukaryotic LSU rRNA". It matches the Rfam family "Eukaryotic large subunit ribosomal RNA", at positions 120 to 654 of the family's 3401-position model. The record is from RNAcentral. Lineage: Eukaryota; Fungi; Basidiomycota; Ustilaginomycetes; Ustilaginales; Ustilaginaceae.